UAUAACAACAAUGUAGGAGAACCCAUGUGACCUGUAUUUACUUCUCACUAGGUCACAGUGAAGAGCUGAAUUCUAUUUAAUACAAGACUCAGGGCAGCAAGAAAACGGACUGCCGCAUCAAAGUGGAGACUGUGGAGUAUACAGUAACACUUCAGCUUCCUGAGCCUGGUACAACAACAGCGUAAGCUAAGACACACAGAUGCUGUCUCUCAAGCACAAAGCACUCACUCCCUGAUAUUCUAAUCAUUUCUCCUGCGAUUGCUCUGCACUCAGCUGCACCUGCGCCCCCGUCAUCUCUUCUGUUUCCUACCUGGGGGAAAGCACUCCUCAUCAAUCACCAAUCCCAAGCCGGGUGAUGUGUUUGUCAUCCUGCUGCCCUUUUACAGUCAAGCAUGGUGGUGGUCGUGUCAUGGUCUGGGGCUGCAGGAGUGCUGCUGGCACUGAAGAGCUACGGUUCACUGAGGGGAAACAAGAAUUCCAGUGACAUUUCAAAGCAGGGCAUGAUCCCCUCCCUUGGCAAGCUGGGAUGCAUGGCAGUUUUCCAACGUAAUAUUGAGCCCAAACACGCCUCCGAGAUGACAAGUGCCUUGAUGAGGACCUGAGCACCUGUGGGACAUCCUCCAGCGAAAGGAAGGUGUAGGAGUGCAAGAUGUCCAAAGCUUUGUGGUGUAAUUAUGGAGGACUGGAGGAGGAUUCCAGUAACAAAUUGUGCAGGGCUGGUGAAUUCCAUCCCCCAAAUGGUGCUCACUACUCACACUAAAUAUUCUCACGUUGGACACACUUUGGACACGUUAACUGUGAGGUGUACUCACUUGUGCUGCCAGCUACACUUAUUUAGAUUAUACAGUCAUGGACAAAAAUAUUAGACCACCCUUUUUUUUUUGUUUUCUUGUUUGUUGUUUCUCGUUCAUUUUAAUUCCUGAUACAACUAAAGGUACAUUUGUUUGGACAAAUAUAACAAUGACAACAAAAGAGUUACACCUUUUGGCAGUACAAUGCUAUAGCUAUUCAUGUAAGAACUUAAGUGAUUUUGGUUAUUAUCAAAAAAACCAUGGAAGUUGCUAGAUAUCAGCCCUUAAAUUAAACUCUUAUGAGCUAUAUUUGUUAUCACCAUUAUAUUUGUGCAAACAAAUGUGCCUUUAGUUGUACCACGCAUUAAAAUGGAUAAAUUAUCUAUCUAUCUAUGUAUUUGCAAAUAUCUAUAUUAGGGCUGUCAUCCGAUGAAUAUAUUUAAUCCUGAUUAACUGCAUUUGUCCAUAGUUAACUCAUAAUUAAUCACAAAUAAUAACUGUUAGGCAUUUUUAUCUAUAAUAAGUAGGAAAGUAAAUCUCUUUGUGGUCAGUGAUUCGAUGCACAUGUAGAUACAACAUAGGUUAAGAUAUGAUUCAGAAAUGAUAUAGUUUAAAAACACCAAUUUGAUACAAAUUGACAGUUGCAUUUGUUGAUGCAGACAUUAAUCUUACAUAAAAUAAUGAAACCAAUUCUAUAAAAUGUGUAUGGGGGGUCCCAAAC
Dunckerocampus dactyliophorus (ringed pipefish) is the source of this 1512-nucleotide long non-coding RNA. RefSeq lists it as uncharacterized. NCBI's taxonomy places the organism in Eukaryota, Metazoa, Chordata, Actinopteri, Syngnathiformes, Syngnathidae. The transcript has 4 exons. The record is from RefSeq and is a predicted model, not a curated record.